GGGCCCGCACAAGCGGUGGAGUAUGUGGUUUAAUUCGAUGCAACGCGAAGAACCUUACCAGGGUUUGACAUCCUGCGAAUCUCUUGGAAACAGGAGAGUGCCUUCGGGAACGCAGUGACAGGUGGUGCAUGGCUGUCGUCAGCUCGUGUCGUGAGAUGUUGGGUUAAGUCCCGCAACGAGCGCAACCCACGUCUUUAGUUGCCAGCAUUUAGUUGGGCACUCUAGAGAGACUGCCGGUGAUAAACCGGAGGAAGGUGUGGAUGACGUCAAGUCAUCAUGCCCCUUACAUCCUGGGCUACACACGUACUACAAUGCUACGGACAAAGGGCAGCAUACUGCGGUGAAUACGUUCCGGGCCUUGUACACACCGCCCGUCACACCAUGGGAGUGGGAUGCAAAAGAAGUAGCUAGUCUAACCUUCGGAGG
Molecule: ribosomal RNA, 426 nt
Filed under: uncultured bacterium
Lineage: Bacteria
Description: bacterial SSU rRNA
Rfam family: Bacterial small subunit ribosomal RNA
Source: RNAcentral